This 746-nucleotide ribosomal RNA is filed under the name uncultured archaeon. RNAcentral describes it as "bacterial SSU rRNA". It matches the Rfam family "Archaeal small subunit ribosomal RNA", at positions 53 to 789 of the family's 1478-position model. The record is from RNAcentral.
GCAAGCGGAGGGCGCGGUCGAAAGAUCGUGGCCCCGCACACUGCUCAGUAACACGUAGUUAACCUACCCUUGGGACGGGGACAACCUCGGGAAACUGAGGCUAAUCCCCGAUAGGUGAGGGACGCUGGAAUGCCUCCUCGCCCAAAGCUCCGGCGCCCGAGGAUGGGACUGCGGCCUAUCAGGCUGUUGGUGGUGUGACGGACCACCAAACCUACGACGGGUACGGGCGAUGGGAGUCGGAGCCUGGAGAUGGGGACUGAGACAAGGCCCCAGGCCCUACGGGGCGCAGCAGGCGCGAAAACUCCGCAAUGCGCGCAAGCGUGACGGGGGAACCCCAAGUGCCGUUGGUCUUUUGAUCGACGGCUUUUCGGAAGUCCAAUAAGCUUCCGGAAUAAGGGCUGGGCAAGACUGGUGCCUGCCGCCGCGGUAACACCAGCAGCCCAAGUGGUGGCCGCGAUUAUUGGGCCUAAAGCGCUCGUAGCCGGAUCAGCAAGUCCUUCGUGAAAUCGGACCGCCCAACGGUUCGGCGUGCAAAGGAUACUGUUGGUCUUGAGACCGGGAGAGGUCGGAGGUACUCUUGGGGUAGCGGUGAAAUGCUGUAAUCCUGGGGGGACCACCAGUGGCGAAGGCGUCCGACCAGAACGGAUCUGACGGUGAGGGGCGAAGGCUAGGGGAGCGAACGGGAUUAGAUACCCCGGUAGUCCUAGCUGUAAAGCAUGCGGGCCAGGUGUCUAGCGCUCCUUGAG